This 253-nucleotide ribosomal RNA is filed under the name uncultured bacterium. RNAcentral describes it as "partial 16S ribosomal RNA". It matches the Rfam family "Bacterial small subunit ribosomal RNA", at positions 524 to 776 of the family's 1533-position model. The record is from RNAcentral.
UACGUAGGCAGCAAGCGUUGUUCGGAGUUACUGGGCGUAAAGGGCUCGUAGGCGGCCAACUAAGUCAGACGUGAAAUCCCUCGGCUUAACCGGGGAACUGCAUCUGAUACUGGAUGGCUUGAGAUUGGGAGAGGGAUGCGGAAUUCCAGGUGUAGCGGUGAAAUGCGUAGAUAUCUGGAGGAACACCGGUGGCGAAGGCGGCAUCCUGGACCAACACUGACGCUGAGGAGCGAAAGCCAGGGGAGCAAACGGG